This 386-nucleotide ribosomal RNA is filed under the name uncultured bacterium. RNAcentral describes it as "partial 16S ribosomal RNA". The record is from RNAcentral.
UUUUCCUACCUUGUUACACGUUGAUUAUGCCAUCCACGUUUCAAAGGCUAAAUUAUCCCGCAUUAAAUUCCCUCAUCAGCAAUAACUCUGCUCUGGGCCAUGAUCAACGACUCUAAUCUGAAUAUCGCCAAGAGUUCUCGAGCCUAGGCUAAUCGUCUAAACCACACGGUGUGGGGACGCCCGACUCGCGCCCGAGGAUUCUAAACGGCACCUAAAAGGCCGCAAAAUUCAUGGCCGUCUUUUCAAGCGACAGGAAAAACCCUGCGUUACCCAAUAAAUCCCUUGAAAAUCCCCUUUCCCCAGCUGGGGUAUACCAAAGGCCCCCCAUCGCCCUUAUGCAAAGGUGCCACCCGAUGGCAAAGGAAUUGAACGUAUCGUAUUUGUAA